Molecule: long non-coding RNA, 1205 nt
Filed under: Equus caballus (horse)
Lineage: Eukaryota; Metazoa; Chordata; Mammalia; Perissodactyla; Equidae
Description: lncRNA (ENSECAG00000041122.2)
Source: RNAcentral
GUGCUGCCAACCCCUCUGCCACUCCAACCUCAUUUCUCAAGCCUGCUGGCUCCAGCCAUUCUUUCUCUCACCUCCAGCCCUUCAUCUGCUGUUUCUUAUGCCUGGAAAAUGCUUUCUCUUCCUCAGCUCCCCUUUACCCAGAUAAUAUCUCUUCACCUUUCAAGUCUCAGCUUCACGGUCACCUCCUCUAGGAAGCCUCUCUUGAUCCCCCUUAGGCUGGGCUAGGCCUCCUUCUGUCUUCCCUAGGUCUCUCUCCUAGGACACUAGGAGUUUGUCAGAUGAGAGGGAAAGUGCUCAGGUGGUCAGAAGUAACAUUAUGGGGAGGGAGAGAGUCCUCUGUGGGAGCUGCUCUUAGAGGUGGCUCUGAGCAGAUGCCCCGCCCCCAACACGGCUGUGUGGGCUUUGCCAGGGGAGAGGAGCUGCCAGAGCAACAGCGCCUUCCUCCUGACCUCUGCCUCUGCACGUUCCCGUGACUCGCUGAUGGAAAACAUCCACCCCUUCUGGGCCUCUUCCUUAUUUCAUCACUUUAAUAAAUUAAGAACAGAUUGAAAAGCAGGAAACAUUGUCUCCCAGGCCCCAGCACCCACAUUCCAACUCAAUUACAGGAUUUGUUUUUCGGGUCUGACCAGAGGCAGCUGGGAUGCGGCAGAAAGAGUGAGAGAAAGAGUUUAAACCAAGAGGCCAGAGAAGGCAAAUUCAGAUUCCAGCUCAGUCGCUGACCAGGGGCCUCAGGCAAAACCAGUCACCUCUUUGAGCCUCCUCAUCCUCGUCUGGAAAAUGGCUAACAUGGCAUCGGGCCCUCCCUCCCUCCUGGUAACCUAGCUCUGGAGCUUUGAACCAAAACUCCUGGAUUACUUGAGAUCCAAACUCACAGUAGGCUCUGAGAGAGCUGAAAUGUCAGAGUCAGCCUGGAUAGAGACAAACAAAAGCUGAAAGAAUUCAUCACCAGAAGUCAUCACUAUGAGAAAUAUUACGGGAAGUCCUGCAGCCAGAAGGAAAAUGAAACCAGAUGGAAAUAUGGAUCCUCACAAUGGAAUGAGAAAUACCAGAAAUGGCAACUACAUGGGUAAAUGUGCAAGAUUAUUAAAUUACUGUUUAAAUCUCUAAAAAGAUAAUUGACUUUAGUGGGUAUGGAGUUUCAGUUUUACAAGGUGAAAGAGUUAUGGAGAUGGACGUGUGGUGAUGCUUGCACAGCAUUAUGAAAG